GUUUUAAUAGUUUAAUCCAAAAUAUUGGUCUUGUAAAUCAAAGAUAAAUUUUAAUUUUUAAAACU
RNAcentral lists this transfer RNA (65 nucleotides) under Frontopsylla spadix. RNAcentral's name for it is "tRNA-Thr". It matches the Rfam family "tRNA". Rfam says of the family: Transfer RNA (tRNA) molecules are approximately 80 nucleotides in length. Their secondary structure includes four short double-helical elements and three loops (D, anti-codon, and T loops). Further hydrogen bonds mediate the characteristic L-shaped molecular structure. tRNAs have two regions of fundamental functional importance: the anti-codon, which is responsible for specific mRNA codon recognition, and the 3' end, to which the tRNAs corresponding amino acid is attached (by aminoacyl-tRNA synthetases). tRNAs cope with the degeneracy of the genetic code in two manners: having more than one tRNA (with a specific anti-codon) for a particular amino acid; and 'wobble' base-pairing, i.e. permitting non-standard base-pairing at the 3rd anti-codon position. The record is from RNAcentral. Lineage: Eukaryota; Metazoa; Arthropoda; Insecta; Siphonaptera; Leptopsyllidae.